Molecule: ribosomal RNA, 497 nt
Filed under: uncultured bacterium
Lineage: Bacteria
Description: partial 16S ribosomal RNA
Rfam family: Bacterial small subunit ribosomal RNA
Source: RNAcentral
GAUGAACGCUGGCGGCGUGCCUAAUACAUGCAAGUCGAGCGAACAGACGAGGAGCUUGCUCCUCUGACGUUAGCGGCGGACGGGUGAGUAACACGUGGAUAACCUACCUAUAAGACUGGGAUAACUUCGGGAAACCGGAGCUAAUACCGGAUAAUAUAUUGAACCGCAUGGUUCAAUAGUGAAAGACGGUUUUGCUGUCACUUAUAGGUGGAUCCGCGCCGCAUUAGCUAGUUGGUAAGGUAACGGCUUACCAAGGCAACGAUGCGUAGCCGACCUGAGAGGGUGAUCGGCCACACUGGAACUGAGACACGGUCCAGACUCCUACGGGAGGCAGCAGUAGGGAAUCUUCCGCAAUGGGCGAAAGCCUGACGGAGCAACGCCGCGUGAGUGAUGAAGGUCUUCGGAUCGUAAAACUCUGUUAUUAGGGAAGAACAAAUGUGUAAGUAACUAUGCACGUCUUGACGGUACCUAAUCAGAAAGCCACGGCUAACUACGUG